AUCCAGCUGGAGAGUCCCAAAUAGGACGAAAUGCGCGUCCUGGAU
RNAcentral lists this non-coding RNA (45 nucleotides) under Trichobilharzia regenti. The record is from RNAcentral. Lineage: Eukaryota; Metazoa; Platyhelminthes; Trematoda; Strigeidida; Schistosomatidae.